UUAGAUUUAUAUUUUUACAGUAACUUGAUAACAGCAAAACUACAGACAGACCACAGGACUCAUUUUCAAAAUACAAUGACAGUAACUUUAUAUUUGCACUAGUUUUAUGUGUCAGAUUGAAAUAUUCAAAUUAGUGUUUCACCUGUUGUUACAUUUUAACCUUUACCUAAAGCUGUUUGGAAACUACUAAGAUUUCUGAACAUAAUAAAAACCUGUUAUCAAAUGUUUUAUACUCCCAUAGAGCACAUUAGUGAUCAUGAUUACUGCUGUUAAAAAAUUAUCAAGGCAUAAUCAUGUCACGAAAUACCUGAAUGCCAUUUUAUUACUUUAUGAGAUUGGAAAUGACUGGAAAUGAAGACGAGGAGUUGCCCUGUUUUUUCACAUAUCUUUAUUACUGUGAAAAAGAAAGGCCAGCAUUGACCAGGACAUGAACAACAGGCUAUCGUCACUUUUUUGUAUUCACAAAUUAAAAAGUGUUUUUGCCCUGGAGAUGGAAACCAAACCAAACUAGAUCAAACCAAUAACCGCAACACAAGCAAAGCAGCAUGUCGUCCUUGUAAAAAGAAGUAAAAAACGAACAAGCCAAGAGGCAAGUUUCUAUUUUACAUGUUUUAUUCAUUAUCAGCACAACAAUGAAAACAACACAAAAACAAAAAACAAACAGAAUCACAUAUAUUUAAAAUCAUUACAUGCAUUUACAAAUACAUAUAUAGGGAAAAGAGGAGAUAAAGAAAAGAAGAAAAGAAAAAAAAAACUACAAAAAAACAAUUAUUUACGAUCUACCAUCUUCACUCCAGCAGUGGACCUUGGAUUCAUUGGGUGUUUCGGCCACGUCUAUCACUAGACACCCUUAUCCAAGGAGGCCCUGCCAGGGUUGAUCAGGCCCUGGAGUGUGUCACUGGUUUAUGUUAAAAUUGUUAUUUCUCUUCUACUUCUCUUCUACUUUCUUCUGUUUAGUUUUCUACAAUUUACUUUCUUGUACCUCUUUAAUAUUUAUGGAGCCUCACUUUUUCAAAGGAAUAGAAAAGGUGAUAGAGAGAAGUAAGACAACAGAGAAAAGAUCAGAGAGGAGAGCUGGAAGGGGGGCGCCUGAUCUGGCAUCCUAAACUCCCCCACUGGAUCGGACUACAUCCUACACCCCCCCCCCCCCCCCCCCCCCCCUCACCGUAUCUAAAAGCAUACUUAAAAGAGAGGCAGUGGAAACCUCCUUUAGGUUUCAUUACCAUGAUGUUAACUGCACGGCCCCCAGGAGGCCCUGAGACAGCUGUAUCAGUCAACCAGCAGAAUUUCU
This is a long non-coding RNA of Astatotilapia calliptera (eastern happy), 1291 nucleotides long. The record is from Ensembl. Lineage: Eukaryota; Metazoa; Chordata; Actinopteri; Cichliformes; Cichlidae.